CCUACGGGAGGCAGCAGUGAGGAAUAUUGGUCACUGGACGAGAGUCUGAACCAGCCAAGUAGCGUGAAGGAUGACUGCCCUAUGGGUUGUAAACUUCUUUUAUAUGGGAAUAAAAUGUUCCACGUGUGGGAUUUUGUAUGUACCAUAUGAAUAAGGAUCGGCUAACUCCGUGCCAGCAGCCGCGGUAAUAUGGAGGAUCCGAGCGUUAUCCGGAUUUAUUGGGUUUAAAGGGAGCGUAGGUGGAGUGUUAAGUCAGUUGUGAAAGUUUGCGGAUCAACCGUAAAAUUGCAGUUGAAACUGGCAGCAUGUAGUACAGUAGAGGUGGGCGGAAUUCGUGGCGUAGCGGUGAUAUGCUUAGAUAUCACGAAGAAAUCCGAUUGCGAAGGCAGCUCACUGGAAUGCAACUGCCACUGAGGUUCGAAAGUGUGGGUAUCAAACAG
This 440-nucleotide ribosomal RNA is filed under the name uncultured bacterium. Its description in RNAcentral is "partial 16S ribosomal RNA". It matches the Rfam family "Bacterial small subunit ribosomal RNA", at positions 338 to 775 of the family's 1533-position model. The record is from RNAcentral.